GCUAGCGGCAGGCUUACACGUGCAAGUCGAGGGGUAUAGGAAGCUUGCUUCCUAGAGACCGGCGCACGGGUGCGUAACGCGUAUGCAAUCUGCCUUUCACAAAGGGAUAGCCCAGAGAAAUUUGGAUUAAUACCUUAUAGUAUUAAGUUUUGGCAUCAAGAUUUAAUUAAAGAUUUAUCGGUGAAAGAUGAGCAUGCGUCCCAUUAGUUAGUUGGUAAGGUAGCGGCUUACCAAGACUACGAUGGGUAGGGGUCCUGAGAGGGAGAUCCCCCACACUGGUACUGAGACACGGACCAGACUCCUACGGGAGGCAGCAGUGAGGAAUAUUGGACAAUGGGCGCAAGCCUGAUCCAGCCAUGCCGCGUGCAGGAUGAAGCAUCUAUGGUGUGUAAACUGCUUUUAUACAGGAAGAAACCCUGGCUCGUGAGCCAGAUUGACGGUACUGUAAGAAUAAGGACCGGCUAACUCCGUGCCAGCAGCCGCGGUAAUACGGAGGGUCCAAGCGUUAUCCGGAAUCAUUGGGUUUAAAGGGUCCGUAGGCGGGCCUGUAAGUCAGCGGUGAAAUCUCCCGGCUCCACCGGGAAAUGGCCGUUGAUACUGCUAGUCUUGAAUUAGUAGGAAGUAACU
RNAcentral lists this ribosomal RNA (627 nucleotides) under uncultured Flavobacteriales bacterium. RNAcentral's name for it is "bacterial SSU rRNA". It matches the Rfam family "Bacterial small subunit ribosomal RNA", at positions 35 to 662 of the family's 1533-position model. Lineage: Bacteria; Pseudomonadati; Bacteroidota; Flavobacteriia; Flavobacteriales. The record is from RNAcentral.